RNAcentral lists this transfer RNA (64 nucleotides) under Bothrops jararaca (jararaca). RNAcentral describes it as "tRNA-Thr". It matches the Rfam family "tRNA". Rfam says of the family: Transfer RNA (tRNA) molecules are approximately 80 nucleotides in length. Lineage: Eukaryota; Metazoa; Chordata; Lepidosauria; Squamata; Viperidae. The record is from RNAcentral.
GCUCUAAUAGCUUAAAUCUUAAAGCAUUGACUUUGUAAGUCAAAACUGGGUAUCCCUUAGAGCA